GAUGAACGCUGGCGGCGUGCCUAAUACAUGCAAGUCGAGCGAACAGACGAGGAGCUUGCUCCUCUGACGUUAGCGGCGGACGGGUGAGUAACACGUGGAUAACCUACCUAUAAGACGGGGAUAACUUCGGGAAACCGGAGCUAAUACCGGAGAAUAUAUUGAACCGCAUGGUUCAAUAGUGAAAGACGGUUUUGCUGUCACUUAUAGAUGGAUCCGCGCCGCAUUGGCUAGUUGGUAAGGUAACGGCUUACCAAGGCAACGAUGCGUAGCCGACCUGAGAGGGUGAUCGGCCACACUGGAACUGAGACACGGUCCAGACGCCUACGGGAGGCAGCAGUAGGGAAUCUUCCGCAAUGGUCGAAAGCCUGACGGAGCAACGCCGCGUGAGUGAUGAAGGUCUUCGGAUCGUAAAACUCUGUUAUUAGGGAAGAACAAAUGUGUAAGUAACUAUGCACGUCUUGACGGUACCUAAUCAGAAAGCCACGGCUAACUACGUG
RNAcentral lists this ribosomal RNA (497 nucleotides) under uncultured bacterium. RNAcentral describes it as "partial 16S ribosomal RNA". It matches the Rfam family "Bacterial small subunit ribosomal RNA", at positions 28 to 507 of the family's 1533-position model. The record is from RNAcentral.